GACGAACGCUGGCGGCGUGCUUAACACAUGCAAGUCGAACGGAAAGGCCUGCUUUCCCUUGUGGAUUGCGGGUACUCGAGUGGCGAACGGGUGAGUAACACGUGAGUGAUCUGCCCCCAACUUGGGUAUAAGCCUGGGAAACUGGGUCUAAUUCCCGAUAGGACUGCAGGGUGGUGCCUGUGGUGGAAAACGAUUUUCUAGUGGUUGGGGAUGAGCUCGCGGCCUAUCAGCUUGUUGGUGGGGUAAUGGCCUACCAAGGCGGCGACGGGUAGCCGGCCUGGGAGGGUGGACGGCCACAUUGGGACUGAGAUACGGCCCAGACUCCUACGGGAGGCAGCAGUGGGGAAUAUUGCACAAUGGGCGGAAGCCUGAUGCAGCGACGCCGCGUGGGGGAUGACGGCCUUCGGGUUGUAAACUCCUUUCGACCGCGAGGAAGCCACCUGGUUGGAAGGGUGGUGACGGUAGUGGUAGAAGAAGCACCGGCUAACUACGCG
This 494-nucleotide ribosomal RNA is filed under the name uncultured bacterium. RNAcentral's name for it is "partial 16S ribosomal RNA". It matches the Rfam family "Bacterial small subunit ribosomal RNA", at positions 28 to 507 of the family's 1533-position model. The record is from RNAcentral.